UGCGGCAGGUGCUACCUGGUCGGGGCGGUUUCCCGAGUCCACGCCGCUCGACGCCCGAUCCGUUCUUAUCUAUUCUUUCACCGCCCAUCUGUCCCGUCGAGCCAUAGCGCUCGCCGCCCUCGAUAGCUACCUCCGCGCCGUCCCACCCGAGGCCGUCGCUGCCGUCGUCGACCUCGUGUUCGCCUCCUCCCCAUCCUCCACCUCGCCCUCCAAGCUCUUCCGCACACUCCUCUUCUCCUUCCCGAAGGUGUAGGACGACGGUCACGGCCAUGCCGCCGGCUUCUGCCAUCCGCUCCCCCGCCUCUGCUACCCCAGGGACGCUAUGUGUGCACUUCUCGUGAGGGUCUUCCGGUCGCUCCUCCACCGGGAGGACGCCCAGCCUAGCCGGCUCCAGCAACAGGCCGGAAUGUCACUGGCCCAGACCUGCACCAUCUUCUCAAUCGAUCUGCUGCAGCGAGCUAUGUAGAUUCUGAUGGAUGAAGUGCAUGGUUUUUGUGUGCAGAAGAGAGCACGUGAACGAGGGGCUCUCCGGCGAAAUUGUGGGAGAUGCCGGGGCCGGGGGGCAGCGACCGCUCGUACGAUGCGGGCUGGGAUGAUUCGACCACCGCGAUGGGGCCCAUCGCCCACCUUUUCGACCUCCUUCCCGGUCGACCAGGUCAAAAUGUCUCAAGCCAAAAUUCAAAGGAAUGUCUCAUAAUUUUGCAUCUUCUGAACAAGAAUAAAAUAGAGCAGCGCAGUAGCUCGUUCAGAAAUUCAAACAAGGUUGGGGUAUUAGAGUACAGUUCAGAUGCAAAUGGAAAGUCUUAGUUCUACUCAAAGAGAAUGAUGAUGAUUCGGAUUGCAAGCUUGGCUAGUAGUACACCGAUCAUAUCUCGAGAGUGGUCUGGUAGAAGGCAUUCAUAAUCGCACAUAGCGUGCAUCUGAUUAAGCUUGGCAUCCUUGUCUGAUCUCAGUUGCACAUCCACAACCGAGUUGUACAUCAAGAGCUAAAUAGUUGGUCAGAGCAACUGAUUAAGAGGCUCAUCGUCCGCUACGGUGUAACUCAUGAAGUCACAUAUCAUUUGUUUGGCAUAUGUAGUAGUUGUAGUUGCACACAUAAUUAUUUCAGUUGGAUA
Triticum aestivum (bread wheat) is the source of this 1115-nucleotide long non-coding RNA. RefSeq lists it as uncharacterized. NCBI's taxonomy places the organism in Eukaryota, Viridiplantae, Streptophyta, Magnoliopsida, Poales, Poaceae. The transcript is spliced from 2 exons. The record is from RefSeq and is a predicted model, not a curated record.